GCUGACUAUAAGAAUUUAAAUAUUAUGCAGUGUAAACUCUGACGGUAGCAAUUUAUGAUGAAUCUCCAGUCUCAGCGUAGAGUGAACAUGUUCACAUGUGGGGGCGACUUAAGAGCAUAUUGGAGAGAAUCGUUAGCAACUUUGGAAAGUUAAUACAGUUAAUGUACGGUUUCCAUAAUUCAUUAAUGAAAAGUUCUGAUUAUUGCCAGUAAGCGCAAGGGUUAGCUGUCUCACAGGAUUCCAGCUAUGGAUCUUCUGACAGGCUCACACAGUCAAAGUAUAGUCUCUGAUCCUCUGUCCUGGGUGUUGUAUAGAAAUGACACACACACACAAAUAAAACUCAAAUUGUACAAAAUGAAAAAAUCGGAUGUUCUGUUUUGGAUACAACUGGUAACAAUUGUGAUAUUAUUAAAAUGGCAGUAUGAUUAAUCUCAAUUAUGUAUUUUAUAGGGACAAAUCUGAUCAUAAAUUAUACGAUUGAAACCUUUCUUAUAGGGGAAAAUUAAUAAUAUGAUAAAUGUAUAUGGUUAUUUAAAUGAAGUAACCCUGAUGGGAAAACAAGAUGGUGACAAUGUUAAAAUUUGCAGUUUAUAUCUGUGCAGAAUUUUAGUAAUCUGAUUUCAGAAGUAUCAUGCCCAAAUGUAAUUAACUUUAUACAUUAAGAUAUCUAAUAUAUGUUCACAUUUCUGCUGUAUAAACAUAUUCGAGAAAUAAUAUAUGUGUACAUGUCAAUUGUCGAAGAGAGAUCAAUAAAUACUAAAGAAACUUGA
This is a long non-coding RNA of Cryptotermes secundus, 770 nucleotides long. RefSeq lists it as uncharacterized. The transcript has 2 exons. NCBI's taxonomy places the organism in Eukaryota, Metazoa, Arthropoda, Insecta, Blattodea, Kalotermitidae. The record is from RefSeq and is a predicted model, not a curated record.